RNAcentral lists this ribosomal RNA (505 nucleotides) under uncultured bacterium. RNAcentral describes it as "partial 16S ribosomal RNA". It matches the Rfam family "Bacterial small subunit ribosomal RNA", at positions 28 to 523 of the family's 1533-position model. The record is from RNAcentral.
GAUGAACGCUAGCUACAGGCUUAACACAUGCAAGUCGAGGGGUAACGAGAGGGAAGCUUGCUUUCCUUGUCGACGACCGGCGCACGGGUGAGUAACGCGUAUCCAACCUGCCCCCAACUAGGGAAUAACCUUGCGAAAGUAAGACUAAUACCCUAUAAUUUCCUCAGAUGUCAUCUGACGAGGAAUAAAGAUUUAUCGGUUGUGGAUGGGAUGCGUCUGAUUAGGUUGUUUGCGGGGUAACGGCCCAACCAGGCCACGAUCAGUAGGGGUUCUGAAGGGAAGGGCCCCCACAUUGGAACUGAGACACGGUCCAAACUCCUACGGGAGGCAGCAGUGAGGAAUAUUGGUCAAUGGGCGGAAGCCUGAACCAGCCAAGUAGCGUGCAGGAUGACGGCCCUAUGGGUUGUAAACUGCUUUUAUACAGGAAUAAAGUUAGCCACGUGUGGUUAUUUGUAGGUACUGUAUGAAUAAGGACCGGCUAAUUCCGUGCCAGCCGCCGCGGUAA